Long non-coding RNA from Acinonyx jubatus (cheetah), 7181 nucleotides. RefSeq lists it as uncharacterized. The record is from RefSeq and is a predicted model, not a curated record. The transcript has 3 exons. Lineage: Eukaryota; Metazoa; Chordata; Mammalia; Carnivora; Felidae.
CCCCAGAAAGGAAGACACCUUCAGCAUCACCCCCGGUUGAGAACGUGAGCCUAGUGGAGCACGUUACCCGGUUUUAUGGCAUUGAAGGCAGGGCAUCCCAAAGCCCGGCGAGACGUCUGCGACGGACACGCAGUUUGACCCGUGGGUUCCCCGGGACUCGCCCUGCCCGGCUGCUCCCUGUGCUGUGCUCGUCUCCAGACAGCGCUCGGCAAGAGUGGCCAGCGGCUAAGCUCUCUGGCUCUCCUCUGACCUCGAGUCUCUUUGUUUGCCUUGUGCAGCAGCGGUCGAGAGUGGAAAUCUCCACUCAGGGACGGGCCUCCUCUCUGUGCUAGAAUCAGGAGAACGCCACAGGAAAGGAGGCUGCCCAAGGGUCGGGAGGUCCGGUCACUGAGUUCCUACAUGACACUUGCCAGCCCUCAGCGCUUCCGUUUCCUUAUCUCCAUCGGCCGAGAACAGAAAUUGCAGCACCACACUCCUCAGUGCCCAUCACCGAGGCCCAUCCAGAUCGCCACUUCCUUAGAGCCAUGAUGAUGGAUUCCACCAAGGAAAUUUCCACGGAGCCGGGUCACUGAAAAUCAGCCCCACAACCCCCUACUCCCACCCACCCCGAUGGAUCCAGCAACACCUGAUGCUAAACCUAAUUCUAGAUUUUUAAGUUACAUGAGCUAACGCAUUCUCUUUUUUGCUUCCGCAGUAUGAAUCGGGGCUUUGUCAUUCGUAACUCAAAGGGUCCUAAUGCACAGAUUCUUUCCUUUUCCCAAAAUGAGGACCAAAAAAGGGUUUGGCGAGUAUGAGAGUGAGGAGGUCUGGGGCUUUGCUUUUGUUUUCGUCUGAGCCACCCAAACAGGAGGCCUAGAAUGCCAAGAAAGGACAGCAGCUUCUUCAAAUGCAGAAGACUGGGAGACACCUGCUGAGGGGUCUUUGUGAUAAGAGAGCCUCAGCUUUGGACAAGUAGAGUCGAAAAGGGGGCGAGUUGUCUGGAAUAUCUUUUUAUUCGCCUCAAAAUGUAGUUUUCGUGAAUGCUUUUUCCUUAGUUUCUUAGGGCAUGGAAUCCAGCUUGGUUGAAUUUUGUUUAAACACAUUGGCAUAAAUCAUAAAUACCCUUGGGAAAGAACAUUAACCAGCAACCAGCAACAUUAACAUCCCUCCACCCCCACCCGUCUCCUCCAGUUAAAUGGACUGGAACCUCUCCACCUUGUUCCCAAAGGAAACUUCCCUGCCUGUCCUAGAACAUUUCAGAAUUGGGCUCCUGCUGUAAGUUUUAACAUAGCCUCACCACAGCUCAGCCUCCUGGCCGGGCCCCUCCACAGUGAGAGGAAGGCAGGGACCUUGGCAUGGGAACUAACAGCUCUGGGCAUUUCCGGAGUCUGGCUCUUGAAGUUUUUUCCUGGGGCAAAUUCUUCCCUUCCCUUCCCGCCUCCCCAUUCAGGAACCUCAGCGGUGGGAACAUAGCAAAGGCUUUGGUACCGAACAGAUCCGGGGACAAAACCUAGUCUGUCACAUUCUUGCUGUGUCAUCAUGGACAAGUUGCUUAACCUCUCUGAGCCUCAACUUUCUGCACAACGGGGAUGAUAAUACCACCCGCUAUGGAGGGCUGUUUCGGAGAAUUCGACAUUCUAAUGCUUGCACAGCCUGACAUAGUCAACGUCAACGGGAGCACUUGUAUUAGUAGUCGUGGCAUUCUCACGAUUUUUGUUCCUCUGUGUGGAUGCACAUCUUCCUGUGGGUUCCGCUGGGUUCAAAUCCCAGCUGUGCCGUAUGAGAGCUCUGUGACCAGGAACAAGAUUGGCUUAGGGCAGAAAUGAAGAAGGAUAGAGGGGAGAGAGAGACACAGAGAGACGGAGACUGAUGGCAAGCAACUUCCGCAGCAUUCGGCCACCCCGGUUUGAGACUCUCCAUUUUCCGCCUGGUCACCUUUGGAGAUCGAUCUGCCCCAUUCUUUCAAAAGCGAGGGAUUGAUCUUUGUUCCCCAGGAGGCAUCUGAGGUCCCGGAGUCUACAGACAGGGACUGAGAUGUGACAGAGGCUCUGACCACCGACUCCAUGGUACUUUGUUACACGGCACCCCAACAGACUAAGACAAUUGUCACUCACUGCUCUGAAUGCUUCUCCUUCGGCACAUUUGCCACAAGUCUGACGACUUAAGUGUGUGAUAGUUUCUAUAACAGGUAACAGUUUGAGAAAUGGGACCAUGCUUUCCUCUUUGCCUCUUUGGGUAAACAGUCCUUCCCCUUGGUCCUCAGCUAUCCAUCUGCCUGGGGAAGAUGUUCAUCCAUACAGAGGACAAAAAGCAGGAUCGUGGCGAUAUUCAGUUCCUUACAAAUCAAAACACAUUUUGCCACAAGACAGUAGACUUAAAGGCCACCACAGUGAGAAAACAUUUAUUGAAUGUCCUUUAGGUACCAACUAGCAUAGCAAAGGCACAGUACUUUCCCAGACUGUCAAGAGAAUAGAGGUCUCCCUUUACCUAUGCCCCCAGGCUUGCUCCCUACGCAGAAGGAGCACACGCAUGGAUGAAGGACUUCAUCUCAGCUUCAUUCUCAGCUUCAGCCCAGCGAGUGCAGAGGCACGUAGGAGGGUGGUGGCACAGGGUAUGGACACAGGGGCUAUUGGGGCUCAAAUCCCAGUUCCGCCAUCCAAGAGCUCUGUGACCAGGAACAAAUUAUUUCACUUCUCCGUGCCUCAGUCUCCUCAUCUAUAAAACGGGACACAUCGCUUCUCGGCCUUUUGGCUAAGAUCACGUGUAUAAAACAGGACACAGGCUACUUCCUCACAGUGUUGCUAGGCAUAUCUAAUGAGUUACUGCUUGGUAUAGACUCUAAUAUAUAAUGAUUCUAAGUGUCAGCUACUUCUUUAUUAUUUAUUUACUUAUUAUAUUUCUUUGUUUAAUGUCAGUAGAGCCAGCUCCAAAGGCAGAGCUUUGCACUGAUCCUCUGGGGGCUGGAGGAGGAAGUCGCGGGGAGGCCACUGCCCACCAGUUUAAUUUGGGAGAUCAUGAAAAUGCUGCAAGUUGCAAGGAGGGAAGCCUUCCCCAGCGUUGCACUUUCGCUGGCUACACGAGUCCUCCCGUGGCCGGGAUGGGACUCGGGAUGUUCCUUUUCAUGGGGGAGACGCUUUGUUAGGGUCGUGGGCAGCCCCGCAGGGUCCAGAUGCGGUGGAGGCGAGGGCUCUGAGCCAGGGAAGGGACAAGUCAGCCAGGCAGGGCUCGGGGCCUAGACCGUGCGUUCUUCCAGCCGCCAGCUUCAGCCUCAAGGGCCAGAAGGGCCAGUAGUGAUCCCCGACAACAGAGGUGGCUGGAGACCUCGCCUCCCCACCUCUGCCUAGGAGCCUCGGGGACUCUCCUGGGACUCCAGACCCCGUGCCACCUUAGGGGGGCUGAGGAUGGAGAAGGAAAUCUGAGAGCGAGCAUGACCUAAAGACCUAAAGUAGUGGAUCAGAUUCAAUUGACCAGAUUAGACUAAGUCUAGCGUUCUUCCUCGUUGCCCCGGGACUGGGGUUUGUGAGAAAUCUCAGCUCAGUUACAGGAUACAAAGAAAGGACACUUUUUUCUGCAGAGGCACGUGAUAGCGUGGCCUAAGAUGCAGCCUCAACGUCAGUCCCCCAGGAUGCCGCUCCUGGGGGCAGAACCUCACCUGUCGGAACGGUGGGAGGCGUUCCAUAAACACCCCCUCGAUCAGUGAGGGUGCCAUUCAAUCCUGACUCUGACCGGCGACCAACAGGUGGCCCGUGUCUGGGAGUGGGGGAGGCGGAACUCUUUUCUCGCUUCCUUGGGGGAAGGGGGUAGAGGGGGUCCCGCCGCCUGGCCUUCGCCCUCCUCUUCAGCGCGAGCGGGCCCACUGACUUGUCUCUAAGGAGGGAAAGUGACAAAAGUGACGCGACGCCACCUCCACCAUUGGGGACUCAACCCUGCCCACGUGGGCGCAUACACACGUGCACAUCCCUAAGCACGCCCACGUGCGCCCGCACGCCCACGCGCAUGCGCACCUGCACCCGCACGCACGCCCACGGGCAGGCGCACGCACGCGCCCUCCUGGCCGGCUCGCUGCGCUGGAGACGGGGGACGCCGUGGCGGGGAACGGAGGGCCACGCGCCCGAGAAGACGUGAGUCCCGCCCGCACCGCCGAGCGAACUGGGAGGCAGAUCCUGCCCCUGAACCUUGAGACGCCCAGAGCCCCGCCGACACCUCGACACGCCUGUGACGAAGCCUGAAGCCGAGGAUCUGGCCGCCGCACCUGCACCCCGACCCGCAGAAACUUGCUCUACCAAGAGGUGGCGUAACCUCGCGAGGAAGCCAGACGAGACGGAUUCAGACCCAUCUCUGCGGUUUACCACCUGUGUGAUUUCAGGCAAGUUACUUAACCUCUCUGCACCUCAGUUUCCAUAUCCGUGAAGUGGGGCCUAAAAGAGCACCUCUAUCUGUGGGCUCUGAGGGUUGAAUGGAUUAACAGCAGUACACGUAGGGUGUGAGCAACUGUACCUGUCACGGAGUGAGGAUCUGUCCCCACCCGCGACACUCUGUUGCCCCCGCAUGGGAAGAGCCAGACCGAUAGCGGCUAGAGAAGGGAAGGAAGGCGAGAGCAGUGCUGUCCGGGCAAGGUCUGUGAUCCCUCCUCCGCGUUUUUCCCCCCGCUGUGGCACGGCUCUCGGGCUCGGCUCCUCUCCAGGAACAGCCACACCGCAAAGAGGUGAGACAUCACGAACCCGCAGCCCGGUUGAGGCUUUUGGAUAUUCUUAGACCCAGAGAUGCACAGUCAGUGGCAGCGGGGCCUGUCCGCGGUGGUGGUGGUAAAGAGCGGGGGGAGGUGCCACCCGGUCGCGUGGCAAAAAGGAAGACGUCAGACAAAUGCCCUGUGGUAGGGGGCUCGCGUGAAUUGGCACAGCCACGCUGGGAAAUAGUUCAGGACGUUAUUUCCCGUUCCCUGCACCCCAGCAGUUGCGCUUCUGGGCAUGCACGUGAGACCCACGCCGGCGUGCACGGCCCGGGACAGGUGCAAGAAUGCUCAAAGCAGCGCCUUUCAGUUUUGCAGACAGACAAGUGGGAAGCACCCCAAAUGCCUGCGGACGGGGAACACAAGUGGCGACGUGCCGCGUCAUAGCACGCGACAGUAGAAAAGAAAGAAAGGAGGAGCCGUGUGCCGUCACGGGGGUAAAUUUUAGUGGCAGAUGCUUUAUGAAAACAUAAGUGGCGCAAAACAACAUAUAUCUUUUUAUAACCUUUAAAAUUAGUGAAAGUCAAUAUAUCAUUUUUGUAUAAACGCAGAAGCUAUAUAAUUUUUUUCUAAACAAGGGAAGUCGGGAUGAUGAAAACAUUCUGCGAGGGGACAGUGGUGUCGGUUGUCUGACACUGAGAGUGUGUUCGAUGCCAUUAUAAACUUGAAAAUGGUUAAAGUGGUAAAUUUUAUGUAUAUUUUUGCACUAAUUGAGAAAACCUUUUUAAUGUUGAUUUGAGAGAGAGAGAGCAUGCGCACGAGUGUGAGCAGGGGAGGGGCAGAGAGAGAGGGAGACAGAGGAUCCAAAGCAGGCUCCAGGCUCUGAGCUGUCAGCACAGAGCCCAGUGUGGGGCUCAAAUCCACAACGGUGAGAUCGUGCCCUGAGCAAAACCAAGAGUCAGACGCUUAACCGACUGAGCCCCCCUGGGUGACGUGCCACAAUUUUUUUUAAAAAACCAUAGGAAGAUAAACACAAAAUUUAAGCUCAUACCUCCUGCAGUGGGAAGGAGCAUGUAAGCAGAUGUAAAUAGUUGUGAAAGUUCUAGUUCCUGGGCUGGAUGGUGGCUAUACAGGGGCUUUUUUGUUGUUUUUUUUUUUUAAUGUUUAUUUAUCUUUGAGAGAGCAAGACCGAGCGCAAGCGGGGGAGGGGCAGAGAGAGAGGGAGACACAGAAUCCGAAGCAGGCUCCAGGCUCUGAGCUGUCCGCACAGAGCCCGACGCGGGGCUCAAACUCACGAUUUGUGAGAUCAUGACCUGAGCUGAAGUCAGACACUCAACCGACUGAGCCACCCAGGCGCCCCAAUAUACAGGGGUUUUUAUAAAUAAAUGUAGUGAGACUGCUUGAUGGAAGGGGGUGGGACCGUUCCAGGGCCUCUGUCAGCAUGUCUUGAGAAGGUUAUGAUUAACUCGCUUCUACCUGACGUCCACUUUAUAAGUCGAGGAAAGCUCUCGGCACCAGGGGUCUAACGGCUGCUGGACCAGUGAGCAAGGCCUUCAGCCAUUCCCUCUGGUGUGAACCAGGCGUGGGGCUCUUUGGUCCCUGGUGGGUGGGGGCACCCGGUGGUGCACUUAGAGGGCAUGUGUAUGCCACAUGCUUCCUCCUGCAGGGGAUUCCUGUCCCCUCACUCGUUUGGAAGGCAGUGCUGGGCAUGCUCCUCAGAGGGGGGCUCCCAGCCACACGGGGGCGGGGAUGGUGGGUCCAGCUCAGGGGAUAGCCCGGUGACAGCCCCCCGGCCACAACAGAAUCCCAUAAUCUGCCUGGUUCCCAGCGUGUCCACACUCAGGUGUGGAGAUGGUGUUGUUUACAGGGCCCUCCGUGCCCACCUGAGAUAGAUGAGAGGGGUGAGCACAGGGGCCUCGUGAAGAGUCCAGAAUGUGAGCUGGGGUUGGUCUGACAACACAUCCAGUGAUGUACAAUUCAGCUGACUCUCACUGUUAUGCAAAUGAACGGCCACUGCAUAAGUUGGCACAGGCUAUUAGAAUGUGGCAUUCAUAAAUGAAAUGUAGCGUGUGGCUAGAGAUUCCUGGUGACCCUAAUUCAGGGUUCUCCCAAAAAAUCUGCCUGCCUUCUCACCCUUGGCAACAUAGCAAGGCAGGUAUUUCCACAAGUAUUAAUUGAGUGCCUUUAUUGAUUGCCUACUCUGGAAUAUAACACUGAACAAAAUGGGCAAAAAAAACCCCCAAAAACCUGUGCCCUCAGGAAACUCACAUUCCAGUAGGGGACAUUUAAGAAAAGAAAAUGAUACAGUAUGGUAGAUGAUGAUAAGUGAUAAGGAGUGAGCCGUAUGGAGAACAAGUGUCCCAGGCAGAAGGGAAAGCAAUGCAAAGGUCCUGAGGCAGGACUGUGCCUAGCACAACUGAGAACAGCAAGUGUAGCAAGGAGGAGAGCAGGGGGGUAAGUCCCACAUCCUGCUGGGCCCUGUGGGCGUGGUGAGGCCUCGGCCUUUUACUCUGGGUGAGGUGGGACCAGAACU